This is a long non-coding RNA of Mercenaria mercenaria, 1181 nucleotides long. RefSeq lists it as uncharacterized. The record is from RefSeq and is a predicted model, not a curated record. The transcript is spliced from 3 exons. Lineage: Eukaryota; Metazoa; Mollusca; Bivalvia; Venerida; Veneridae.
GACAUUGCAACUGAAUGCAGACAACCUGUACAACAACGUCAUGUCAAAUAUGGCAAAGUUAACAAGCUGGCACGCAGUUGAGAUAUUUCUUUCCGAACACCGCAAACCAAACUUUGCAACGAUAUCAUGUGUGGCUGAUCGCUGGAUCACCAGAAAAUAGUGAAUAAGACUCGUCUCUAAAUUUCACCGCUCGGAAUUGCUUCGGCGUAAUGAAAGAAUAAUGCAUAUUUCAGAGAAUCUUCAAGACUAACCAAAUCCGAAAACCAGCUAAAAAAUGUUUUACAGCUGGUAAUUCUUGAUGUGAUUGGUUUGUUUCAGAACAAUCGAAAGGAAUGAAAUAAAUCUUUCUAUUGUUAAGCUUAAAACGAACUAUCUGAAACAAACAGUUAGUCACAAAGCUGCACGCGUAUGGAAUUCACUUCCUUCUUACAUAAAACUUCAUAAUAAUAUGUCUGCGUUCAAACGUGCUUUAAAGAAUUUUCUCUUGCUACAAUAGUUUUUAGCAAUUUAUUACUUGUAAUAACAAGAAUGUUGUUGAAUUAAUGUUAUUUGUUUUUAAAUGAGAGUGAAUGUUGAAUAAUUCGGUUACCAAUAAUAAUAAUAAUAAUUUUAUCGUCUCAUAAUCCAAAUCUGGAAUAUGUAUGUUAUUUCAUUGGACAGACGCCUUAAUUGUUAUGAAUUAAUCUUUGUGACGCUUGGUAAAUUUUUGAGCCAGGUUUGCAAUGGGUAGAUUUUCAGGAAAUAUGUCGCAAAGGUUUGAAUUUUCAAAGCCCGAAUGUUUGUUACCGUUUGGAAAACCUUAUCCAACUUACAUGGUUACAAAUUGCAACAAUGGCAACUUUUCUGUUAUAUACAUGCAGGUAUUGUUACAUAUGUAUUUUUAAUGUAAAACCUGGUAAGCUUAAAAUUCCUGUAUGUGGGGAUUGUGAUAAUCAAAUUCUAGACUUCUUUUAAAACAAGAUUACUUAUAAUUUAUGUAUAUCAUGAUUUUUAAGACUUCUAUAAUUUGAGACGUGUUUGUCGAAGAAACAUUUAAGUAAUUCUGAUAUGUGUAUUUUUGUAUAAAUAUUUGAUUAUAAAUUGACUGUAUGAUUGUGUAAAUGUAUGAACGUAUAUGAAAUUUAAUUUAAGACCAUACAGGACAUAAGUUGUAUGAUAUUUGUAUUUGUACACUUAGUAUG